This 4232-nucleotide long non-coding RNA is filed under the name Mus musculus (house mouse). RNAcentral describes it as "long non-coding RNA chr1:91184418-91188650". Lineage: Eukaryota; Metazoa; Chordata; Mammalia; Rodentia; Muridae. The record is from RNAcentral.
UUAAAUUUGAAUUGAGUGGAGCAUUCCUGACAUUUGCAUGCUGAAUGAUAAUUUAUCCAUGCAGCCUAGGGCCAGGUGCCCUUGGACAGUAGGGUGAUUGCUGGAAGACAGGGAUCUAUGUCAAUCAAGGGUUCACAAGAAAGAGGCAUGGCAGGAAGAUACUUAGGGCAGGAGCCUUGUCCGGGUCAGCGCCAAAGCCUCAGGCAGAGGGGACAGCUGCAAAGAGAGGCUGGAGACAGACCCUGGCUUUUGUGAAAUCCUGGGGAAGGGGAGGCCAAGUCCACGUGAAGGCCCCGGAGAACUGAGUGUCCACAGGUUCUACUUCUGUCCCAGCAGCCAUGCAAGGAUAGACUGAGGCAAUCCCAGUUCCACUGGGCGCCUUGACAAGUCAGGAGGGAUCAAAACAGGUAACUGGGUCACACGUGGAUGAUUCUCUAGUUAUGCCCUCAGUUGUCAGACCUUUUGGGCGGGGGGAUGGCAGUGCAGUGGGAAUCCACUGAACUUAAACAUCAGCAGUCUGGGGUUGAGACCUGCUGCUCAAGAAACCAUAUUUCCAUUGAAUCUUCAGCCAAGUCUCAUUGAAUGACUCCUCUCUGAGGGUUACCCCUUUGGAGUCUCAUUGAAUGACUCCUCUCUGAGGGUUACCCCUUUGGAGUCCUGUGGUUUUUGUCUGCUGCUACAAAUGAAAUGCAUUCCCUCAACUGGUUCCUAACUGUCUGAACUAAAGCUAAAAAGCACACUUUUUUAGAAAAUGUAUUCAUUUGCUUGCAUGUGUAUGGGUGUAGGCAAGUAUAUCAUGGCUCACAGGUGGAGGUAGAGGGCAACUUGCAGGAAGGCGCUGGUGCUCUCUUGCUGCCACAUAGGUCCUGGCAAUGAGCUCCUGUCCACAGGCUUGCUGAUAAGUGCCUUUGCAUACCAAGCUAUGUCCUAAGGCCCAACAGACACUCUGUGUGUCCUGGGGUGGGGUGGGGGGUGGGUAUCUCUCUUCUCUUUGUGUUUCUUGUUUGGUAUUUGAGCUCUUUUCCUAAGAGCUCUUUUCCCAACAAGUCACUAGGACAGUUUCGGCCAGGAAGGUCCUCUUGGCUUUAUGGUUUUUCUUUUGUUCUCACCCUGGAGUGGGGUGGGGGGGCUGGCCUCAGCAGCCUUCCUCUUCUGUAAACUGUGGUAGUAAGUCUGCUAAAUAUCUGCCUUACUCUUGUAGUACGGGACUUUCAUCUCAUUGUCUUAUAGAGAUGAGCACAUGACGGAAGGAUGGAGGAUGCUCGGUCUCUCCACGGAUGAAAUGUUUUGUCACACUAAGGAAGAAAUAGUAACACACACAGAGCAGCUUGCCCUGCUGGCCUGCCGAGAGUAAUAAUAGAGACAGCCACCAGGUGCCUUCUCCCUUCCUGGAUGAAGCGCCCAAGAGGCACCUGUUUGUUCUGCCCAAACUGCCCGAAGGGGUCUUUCUCAUUCAUUUUUCCUAGUUAGGUCACUCCUCCACUUUCCCCUGUGGCUUUCUCUAGGACAGAGGUUCCUUUCCACACUAACCACCACAGCAACAUCACCUCUGUCCCUGAGUACCAAGGCAGGAUGACAGUUCCUGCAGGACCUGAGAGUCCUCACUUCUCCCUCGAGUCAGGACUGUGGCUGACUACCUUGGAGGGGUUUUCCUUGCCUGUCUUGCUGCUUGGAAUCUUGAAUCGUCUUUGUAGUGACAUCUGUUGAUUUCCUAGGACUGUGUCCAUUCCCUCCCAUCAUAUUUUUCAGGGAAUUCCUGACAUUCCAUAGUUUGUCUUAAGAUUCCCCACCCCAAUGGCUCUUUGGGGGGGGGUAAUUCCCCCCACAUACACUGAGUAGAAACCAUACUUCAGAUUUCUAAUUUGGACCCUUUGCUGAAUUAGCAAUUAGUGGUCCAGUCUCUCAGGCAGCAAGCACGGUCUCCAAUCAGCCCUCAAUCUCAGAGGAGCAGUCAACACUGUAUAAAGCACUAUGACCAGAGACACCAUGGAGAGGAAAGGAUGUGCUUCGUCUUACACCCUGUAGUCCAGUCCAUCAUCCAUGGAAGUCCGGGAAGAAUCUGGAGGCAGGAACUGGUUCAGGGGACAGGGAGGAGUGCUGCCUUACUGACUUGCUCUCCAGGGCUUGCAUGAACUAUUUUCUUAUGACUCUUAGGAUCAACAACUCAGGGAUGGCCUUGCCCACAAUAAGCUGGCACUUCCACAUCAAUUAGGAAAUCAGGAAAAUGCCCCACAGGCUUGUCUGUAGGUAAAGACUCUGGUAACGCAUUUUCUCACUUGAGGUUCCCUCUUCUCCAGUGACUCCAACUUGUGUCAAGUUGACAUCAAACUAGCCAACGCCGCCAACAGUUCACCCCUGGGACAAAAUACUUGACAAAAUCAAGUGAACAGAGUAGGGGUUUAUUCUGGCUCAGGUUCUUAGAGGUUCCAGUCUGUGGUUGCUUGGUUGUCUUAUCUCUGGACUGUGGUAGGCAGAGGAUGGCUACAGGAAAACGUGAUUACACAUAGCUUCCCAGCUCAUGGCAGAAAGGAGGCCAAAGGGGGUGUGGAGGAAAGGAGCCAGGGACAGAAUCUAGCCCCUCAGGAUCUACUCCCUUCAACGUUACAAUUACCUCCCAAGAGUCUAUUAAAAUACAACCCCAAGAGCCAAAAGCCCCGCCUUGGUACUGUAGUGCUGGGCCUUCAGCAUCCAUCAUCCGGACAUUCUGUGUCCAAACUGCAGCACAGAGAUUAAGGGAGCACCUUUGUUCUCUAUCCGAGGCGUUUCAGGAUAGCAUGUCCUUUGUCUGUAAAGCUAUAAGUCCAUUGCACGGCUAGGAGUUCCGUGUAGGCUAUGGUACAUCUCUAACUCCUUCCAUAUUUGUGGGGAUCUUCUAGGUCCAGUCUUGUGAGCUGGUGUUUUUAUGAUUCAGGACCAGGACAGAGGGACAUCGCCUGGUGUUCUUUGUGCCUUUCCCUCUGAAGAGUCAGUGCUGGUGAGCAGCUGGUCAUUUUUCUUUGACUGCCGUAUCCACUUGUGCGAGUGAGCGUGCUCAGUCCUCCACUUGGCAGAAUUCUGCAAGGUUUUGUCUGUCUUGUGCCUGCUGUUGAUAUCUUUAGACUUUUCUGUUUGCGGUUUUAGUUCCUCUUUGGCACAGAGAGCAGUUGGUAAAUAUAUUUUAAAGUUCCAUUGGUGAGGGAUCCCAGACAGUCACUACUGCUUUUUAUUACACCAUGGUUGGGACAACAGAUCUGCCAUGGCUCCCCACAUAGAAUGACCUUCAGAUGACUCCUGAGCCUGGCACAUUGACUUUUGUGACUGGCCAUGAGCCACUCAGUCCACAACACAGUUUUCUGUUAAUUCUAGCCAUUUGACUAAAACUCUCACCCGCCAUCUUUAAAAAGCCGUUUUUCUUUCCAAAUGCUUUCUAUGUCAAAGAGGAAAUAGGAAACCACAAACAGAAAAAUUCUGAAGAUACUGACAUCAGGCACAAGACAGACAAAAACUUAACAAAAUUCAGCCAAGCAGGGACUGAGGGAGCAGGCUCUCUCACACAAGUGGAUAAGGUGUUCCUUGUGUUAGGCUAAAAACCCAAGUCCUCUGUGUCCUUGUUCAUGUCACUUGUGUAGAUCUGUGCACUUUAUAGACCUCACACUUGGGAGAUAUCCACUCUUUCUCUCCAUAGCCUUGUGUGCAGGAGACAGAUAAGCCCUGCCAGUCACUGCUGCAGCCUACUUAGAGUACUGCCUCCUCUUCCCACACGUUGCUUUUGACAUUUUAUUCUUAAUUGUGCUUGCCUUAGUCACAGCUCUCUAGAGGAGCAGAACAGGUAGAAUGAAUACAUACUGUGAAAGGGGACUUGCUAGAUUGAUGUGCUCCAUGUGGGUUGGGUAGUGCAGCAACAGCUGACUACAUACUGAAGAGACUGGGAACCUGAUAGCUACUUAGUUCACAAGGCUGGGUGCCUCAACGGUCCCAGUCUGGUACUGAAGGCCUAGGCAAUCCCCAGAGAGCCCCUGGUCUUCAGUCCACAGUAGAAAGUCAAAGAAACUGGAGGCUGAUGUCCAUGAGAGAUGUCGAUCAGGGAGGAGGCAGCAGCAGCAGCAGCAGCAGUGUAGAUGCGCACACCAGCAAGAAGGGAAGGCAGGUGAGCAAGAAGUGGCUUUCCUGAGGAUCUCUUUGUAUCUGGGCCACAGCUCGAAGGCAUUGCUCACUCUGAGGGGAGACUUUUCUUUCCACAGUUUAUCCCUUUC